Carassius auratus (goldfish) is the source of this 1246-nucleotide long non-coding RNA. RefSeq lists it as uncharacterized. The record is from RefSeq and is a predicted model, not a curated record. NCBI's taxonomy places the organism in Eukaryota, Metazoa, Chordata, Actinopteri, Cypriniformes, Cyprinidae. The transcript has 3 exons.
AUACGCGGUUUUAUAGGAAUACAAAGUUCUCUUGCGGAAAAGAGAAAAUGUAAAUAUAACAUUUAAGAAAAUUUGCUUUGUUUCCCCCCAAACUUUAAUUUUAAACAACCCUGAAACGCUUCUUAGAAAAAGCGAAGAACAAUGGCGGAUUUGAGAGAGUACUAUCAAAACGAAGACGAAGAGGAUUCGUUCAUUGAUAUGUUGCACGCUUUGUACUCCAUUUAACUUACUUAUAUUAAAUUAAAUAUAAAUUCCUAAUUACUUUUAAAUCCAUAGGUGCUUACAAAACCAGUGGCCGCGACAGUCUGGCGUUUCUGGUUGAUGGAUCCAAAGAAAUGUUCAUCAAAAGAGCAAGAACCCAAGAAACUUCUUCAAGCAUGUCUACAUCUACCACGCCUACCUGCUUCACCUGGAGCCAAGCAAGAAAGUAGCUCAGUUGGCUGAAAAGACCAUGGGCAGUGGGGAUGUCCAAAUACUCACACUUGAGAGCGUGCGCACAUGACAGGAAGUAAUUGUGUCCCAGAUCUUAAAAAUGGCAAAACGCAGUACCCUUAAUGCACACUAAAUCCACAUUAUCUCGAAUACCGCUCCAGAGCGCUAUUCAAGGCUUAGUGUAUCCCAUCAUGCAUCAUGUUAAUGGAAAUAAAUCGUGAGACUUUUUACAGAUCUCUUGAGAGGUCACGGAAACCUUUGUAAAGUAUGUGAAAUAUUAAUAAUAAUUAGAUAUUAUAUAUGAUUUGGUAGAAAAACAGUGUUUUUAUUUUUUAUUGGUGCAGAGAUGAGUAGUGGUGAUAUUUAUUUUGUACAACAUUUUUAACCUUAUUUUAUCACUUAAUUAGAAGCACCACAUGUUAAAAUUGUCAUGUUAUAGGGACUACUGAACAGACAUUUAGAAGUUGAUUUUAAAAUGCAAAGUAUUUAAAUUUUUUAUUAAAUUAAACCUAUUUAAACACUUGUGUCCCAUCAGGUAAUGAAAAGUUUGACACACACUUGUGGUCUUCAUGUGGUCUGGUUCUUUUAAAAGAGGACUCAAGUGUGAAAAGACCCUAAUUUAGGAGCUAAGACCUAGUCCUUACACUUAUGUUAUGAAUCACACUUAUUCCUAAGUGUAGAAAUAAAAGCAAGACGACAUCAUUCUCACAGUUUUGACACACUUGAAGUUUAUUACUUGAAAUUAUACUUGGUUUCACUGCAAAGUUUUGUUCUGUGUAUAAAUGUGUAUGUGACAAAUAAAAAUUAUGAAUUA